AGACACCACAUCUUGUUAUUUUUCCUUGCCUCCUCCAUUUCCAGAUACACAAGCCAGAUGUGGAGUGGGUGGUGAUGUUAAUUUUCCAUUCAGACCCCGAAACAGCCCUCCUUGGCACCGGGGUUGAAAAAGCCCGGGGCACAGCCCACAGAGACAAUAUAUCUUUUUGAAAAUGUCGUCCCCCCACCCAGUCUUCCUCCAUGAACCCCAUGGCGUGCGUCUCCUGUCUCAGAACCCCAGCACUGUUGAUUGAGCGUCCCAAGAAGGACACACACCCAACUCUUUGAGAACCACGUGCGUCGUCGUGAUGAAUGAGCAUCUUCUCCAUCUUGGAGCAUCUUCAUUAUCCGUCGUUGUGAGUGAGAGCUGGGAAGUCCCACAGGCCCUUGUAGAAGUCACCACCGCUGGCUGGGGUGGGUCUGUCAUUUUAGCAGGUGCAGUGGCUGCCCAGCGCCCCAUCUGUCUCUUCCUCUCCUGUGGCCUCUGUCUUCACAGUGACCUCCUGCCACACCAGAGGCGUUGGGGCACACUGGCCCUGGCUUGGUUCUUAGAGUUCUCUGCAGCAGUUCCAAACAGAAUCUAGAAGAAGCUUGUAAGUUUAUCAGAAAGCAUCCUUUCCUUCCCUCUCUCCU
Molecule: long non-coding RNA, 632 nt
Organism: Diceros bicornis minor
Lineage: Eukaryota; Metazoa; Chordata; Mammalia; Perissodactyla; Rhinocerotidae
Exons: 3
Source: RefSeq, a predicted model, not a curated record